Molecule: long non-coding RNA, 541 nt
Filed under: Glycine max (soybean)
Lineage: Eukaryota; Viridiplantae; Streptophyta; Magnoliopsida; Fabales; Fabaceae
Description: long non-coding RNA (GMAX_LNC002907)
Source: RNAcentral
UUCAAAGACUAAAAGCCUUUAAAAAAACAAAUGUGAGCUAUAUCAGCUCUUAUACAAUAAAGUUUGGUGCAAAAGAAAAAAACUUGAACAUUAACAUCAGCUGACAAGGCAUGCUCAGCCAAUUCAUGGCACGAGUUAAUAAAUUCAGCACAGGCUUUGAAUCUGAGUCAACCCUUAUGUUCAUGAAACCUCUCGAUCAUGCCAAAAGCGAAGACCAAGCCAAAUAGCUUUCAAUUCAGCGCUACUAUAAUUGAACAUCCUCCAAGAUUUGAAGAAAAUCCGUAAAUAAAGGCACAUCUGCAGUUACUGCCCCAUCACAAUUAAGGGCAACUUCCCUUUCCUUGGGAGCUAUCCAUUUAAUCUCCACCAUAUUCGAAUUUAGGUGUCUGGUGUUUAUGAAUGACUUAUAAAAAGCAACACUCUCAUAAUAAGACCCUGCCAUAGUACACACCUUGUCUAUGGAAUCUUCCACAAACCCUUUGGAGAACCAUUCCACCACAUAACACCAAAUAUAAGACUCCACUGUAGGCCGUGAACCUCC